RNAcentral lists this ribosomal RNA (605 nucleotides) under uncultured bacterium. RNAcentral's name for it is "bacterial SSU rRNA". The stretch from base 1 to 531 matches the Rfam family "Bacterial small subunit ribosomal RNA", at positions 338 to 873 of the family's 1533-position model. The record is from RNAcentral.
CCUACGGGAGGCAGCAGUAAGGAAUAUUGGUCAAUGGACGAAAGUCUGAACCAGCCAUGCCGCGUGAAGGAUUAAGGCCCUCUGGGUUGUAAACUUCUUUUAUCUGGGACGAAAAAAGGGUAUUCUUACUCACUUGACGGUACCAGAGGAAUAAGCACCGGCUAACUCCGUGCCAGCAGCCGCGGUAAUACGGAGGGUGCAAGCGUUAUCCGGAUUUACUGGGUUUAAAGGGUGCGUAGGUGGGCUUGUAAGUCAGUGGUGAAAUCUCCGGGCUUAACCCGGAAACUGCCAUUGAUACUAUAGGUCUUGAAUUAUCUGGAGGUAAGCGGAAUAUGUCAUGUAGCGGUGAAAUGCUUAGAUAUGACAUAGAACACCAAUUGCGAAGGCAGCUUACUACGGAUAUAUUGACACUGAGGCACGAAAGCGUGGGGAUCAAACAGGAUUAGAUACCCUGGUAGUCCACGCCCUAAACGAUGGAUACUCGACAUCAGCGAUACACUGUUGGUGUCUGAGNGAAGANAUAUAUCCNCCNGAGUAGANCGCAGAUAGAACGUACAAGAGUAGUAGCGNGNGAGAGACGACGACGACGACGACGGAGGAGGAGG